GUAUAACGUGUCGUAUUACU
RNAcentral lists this non-coding RNA (20 nucleotides) under Arabidopsis thaliana (thale cress). Lineage: Eukaryota; Viridiplantae; Streptophyta; Magnoliopsida; Brassicales; Brassicaceae. The record is from RNAcentral.